GUGGGUUCGAGCCCCACGUUGGGCGCU
Molecule: non-coding RNA, 27 nt
Filed under: Drosophila melanogaster (fruit fly)
Lineage: Eukaryota; Metazoa; Arthropoda; Insecta; Diptera; Drosophilidae
Also listed under: 3 other names
Source: RNAcentral